CCUACCAGGACACAGUUUAGACAUGAGGUUCCAGGUUCAGGUCCUGGGGCUCCUUCUGCUCUGGAUAUCAGGUGCCCAGUGUGAUGUCCAGAUAACCCAGUCUCCAUCUUAUCUUGCUGCAUCUCCUGGAGACACCAUUACCAUUAAUUGCAGGGCAAGUAAAAGCAUUAACAAAUAUUUAGCCUGGUAUCAAGAGAAACCUGGGAAACCUAAUAAGCUUCUUAUCUACUCUGGAUCCACUUUGCAAUCUGGAAUUCCAUCAAGGUUCAGUGGCAGUGGAUCUGGUACAGAUUUCACUCUCACCAUCAGUAGCCUGGAGCCUGAAGAUUUUGCAGUGUAUUACUGUCAACAGCAUAAUGAAUACCCAUACCACAGUGAUACAAGUCAUAACAAAAACCCCCAAGUCUUGGAGAUCAAGCCCAAUUUCCUGCAGGUCUAGUCAGAGCAUUGUACACAGUAAUGGAAACACCUUUUUGGAGUGGUACCUGCAGAAGCCAGACAAGUCUCCACAGUUCCUGAUCUAUUUGGUUUCCAAGCGAUUUUCUGAGGUCCCUGACAGAUUCAGUGGCUGUGGGUCUGUCACAGACUUCACAUUGAAGAUUAGCAGGGUGGAACCUGAGGAUAUAGGAGUUUAUUACUGCUUCCACCAUUCGUAUUAUCCUGCCACAGUGAUGCAGACCUUAUAA
This is a non-coding RNA of Mus pahari (shrew mouse), 686 nucleotides long. Lineage: Eukaryota; Metazoa; Chordata; Mammalia; Rodentia; Muridae. The record is from the annotation of a RefSeq genome assembly.